RNAcentral lists this transfer RNA (65 nucleotides) under marine eukaryotic metagenome. It matches the Rfam family "tRNA", at positions 5 to 66 of the family's 71-position model. From Rfam's summary of the family: Transfer RNA (tRNA) molecules are approximately 80 nucleotides in length. Their secondary structure includes four short double-helical elements and three loops (D, anti-codon, and T loops). Further hydrogen bonds mediate the characteristic L-shaped molecular structure. tRNAs have two regions of fundamental functional importance: the anti-codon, which is responsible for specific mRNA codon recognition, and the 3' end, to which the tRNAs corresponding amino acid is attached (by aminoacyl-tRNA synthetases). tRNAs cope with the degeneracy of the genetic code in two manners: having more than one tRNA (with a specific anti-codon) for a particular amino acid; and 'wobble' base-pairing, i.e. permitting non-standard base-pairing at the 3rd anti-codon position. The record is from RNAcentral.
CCGUAGCUCAGUGGUUAGAGCAGGGGACUCAUAAUCCCUUGGUCGGAGGUUCGAAUCCUUCCGGG